AUUUAUUAAUUCAUUAAUUGCCAUUUACUGUACAGGCCAUGUUGCACUGAAUUUGUUCACAGGUUAAACUUCGAUAUUGCAUUUUCUUUAUUUCCAUUACUACAUUCAGUAACAAUGAAUUCGUCAUCUUAACUUUAAAUAUUAAGCUCUGUACAAACUUGAGAAAUGUUAUGAUGGUGUGUUAACUUUCCCCUGAUCUAAAAUGAUAUGCAUUUACGUGUCUCGCCCGUGGUUAGAUACACAGGAGUAUGUUUAGUGAUCUGAGAUGACAUGUUAGGGACCUAGAAUUUGCCAAAACAAACGCGGUGAUGCAACUCUGUCUGAAGUGUGCGCGGCGCUUCGAGACAUCACUCUCUGGCAAUGAGUGAUCCUGUUUUGCUCUGUCUUCAGGACAGAGGGAACGCUGAGGUCUUUUCCUUAGAUGACAUCAUUGAUUCUUUCUUUCUUUCCUUCUUUUUUGAGUAACAUUAUUUAUUUAUUUAUUUGAUUGUUCACUUCUCAUAUCCAUCACAUGACAAAGCAUGGUGUGCUUACUAAUGCUAAGCAAGUGAGACGAGAGAGAGAGGAGGGAGGGUGUGAGUGGGAGAGAGACACAAAGAGAGCUUGUCAUACUUGCUUAAGGAUGAAAUAUUAAGUGUGCAGCCAGGUUGUAAUUUUCUCCAGCAAGUGCAGAAAGGGUUUGGGGGAGGAAUCACACCAUGACUUUCCCUUUUAUUCUCCAAGCUGAAUAUUACUAUUUAAACAGCAUUAUUUUAAUUACAGGUGCAAUAAAACCAGAGCUGUUUAAAAUCUGGUGUUCUACUUCUAAUACACAGAAUAAUAAAUCGAUAAACACUGUGCUGCUCUGUCUAAACAGAGGACGUUUGACAUUUACCUGCAAAGAGCGUGUGUGGAACUUUUUCCUGAUGUGAUACAGAGGGACUGGUGAGGAUUUCAUCUCGCUUUUACUGAUCUCCAAAGGGGACUGUAGAGGAGUGAGCCGGGGUGAUGGAAGAGUUAACAGGGUUAAGGAGUGGAGAGCUAUAGUAUAUCCUCAUCCAUCAGUGAGGCUGAUAAUCACAACACAGGAUAGAGAAUGAAGACGGGACAUCUGUACAUUAGAAUGAAAUUAAUCACACAUAUGAGUUUUUUUUUUUUUUGUGGAAUCAUGGGAAUUCAAGCAUUAUAAUCACUUGAUUUUCCCAACACAGCUCACCUACCAAUAAACAAAAUUGAUGAGCGAUGGUUUAAAUUAAUCUCUGAACGAUAUUGUGUGAUGCAAAUAGAGAGGACUUAAAUGCAUAAUACAGACUUUGCUACGUGUGAAUAUGGAAAGUGUUAUAAAAGAGGUGAGAGUAAGAGGAAAGUCUUAUCGUCCCUCAAUCUUUCCCUCUAUUUUCUUUCCCCCAUUCUCUUCUUCUGUCUUCAGUGCUGAUGAAAUAUCGCUAUUGUUUAUGCUGAAGAUUAGAAUGAAAUUGGGCUGAAACUGGUUGUUCUGAGGAGAUGGAGAUAAGGCAGAGGAUUUGUAUGGGGCCGUGUGUGGGACCCUCUUAUCGGGGCCCCUGCCACAGGCACCAUAUAAAGUUGUUCAUGCUAAUUAGCCCAGGCAGAAGCCCAGCCCUCACUAUGAUGGCAAUUCAGCGAGGCCCCCACACUAACACUCAUAAAUACGCAUCCUGUUCAUUAUCAUGACUUUUAUCCUUUUUCCUUACCAAGACAAGAUAAGAAAUUUAAUUACAAAAAUUUACAUUUCACAGCAAGAAGUCUGGAUAAACAAAUAGUUUUUAUCAGUGCCGUUUUUAAAAGAGAGCGCCUGACACUUCUUUGACCAAGACAUUCCACAGCUUAAUGCACAUUCACCCAAAACGGAGAAUAAGAAAUAAUGUUUGCUUGGGUCUUUGAAGAAGAAUGAUUCAUUUGAUGACACAGUAUUUGCAACACAUGAAUUGAUUAAACGUCUUCAGAUGAUUUCUCUGUUGCCAUGAGACGCAGGUGUUGUUUCUUAGUCUCAGAGUAACAGUACAGUCUAGUUUAUUAACACUUUCACCUUGACACAUCCUGCCUUAUGUGAGCACCCACUAGAGCCUUCUGACCUUUACAGGAAAAUGGAGUGGUUUUCAAUAUGUGCAGACCCCAAGGACUCCUAUUUGUGCUUUUAAAUUACAUGUAUUAGGCAUUUUACACAUUUCCAGACUUUUGUAUGUGUAUGUGUGUGUUAUCGUGAGUGCUUUUGGAUAGACCAUCCAUUACGGCAAUAUGCAACUUCUGGUAACUGCAAGAAAUGUGGAUGUGAAGCAUCUAGUUCUUUUAUUAGUAUGCUGUAUAUAUUAAAAAAGAAUGGAGGACAGAGUAUAAUAUUUGGUAAAUCUAUCUAACAGAUAGGCUCUUUCUGCUUCCUGACCACCAAGUGUUUAUAAGUAUGCUUCUUUAUCUACCUUUUGUUAGUAGGUCAGAUGUUAAUUGUUAUACCAAUUAGCUCCUCUUCUGCUAUUCCAGUGCUGUGCUAUGCAGUUCCAACUGCUAAGCUUAGUAUAUAUUUGUGUCAUAAUUUGUGUAAACAUUUAUGUAACUCUUUUUUGUACAAUAAAU
This is a long non-coding RNA of Cyprinus carpio carpio, 2568 nucleotides long. The record is from Ensembl. Lineage: Eukaryota; Metazoa; Chordata; Actinopteri; Cypriniformes; Cyprinidae.